This is a long non-coding RNA of Rhipicephalus microplus (southern cattle tick), 191 nucleotides long. NCBI's taxonomy places the organism in Eukaryota, Metazoa, Arthropoda, Arachnida, Ixodida, Ixodidae. The record is from RefSeq and is a predicted model, not a curated record.
CGAAGACUUCUUCUGGAGCAGCAUUGAGCUUGCCCAUAAGAACACAUGAAAAAGAAGACCUGGCAAGGAUUCAGGAAGCAGCAGCGCGAGAUGCCCGUGCCUCUGCUAGACAUGAGCAUGGAUCAGCUUCUCAAGGAACAUGUUGGGAGCCUGCUCAACCUUUGCAUGUGUCACCUUGAGAAGAGAACCGC